GAUAAUUCCGGAUANGUCNUGANUGCUGGAAUGCUUCGUGGUAAAAAGGCUUCGGCUGCCCAAGGAUGGAUCUGCGGCCUAUCAGGUAGUAGUGGGUGCAGCGUACCUACUAGCCGACGACGGGUACGGGUUGUGAGAGCAAGAGCCCGGAGAUGGAUUCUGAGACAUGAAUCCAGGCCCUACGGGGCGCAGCANGCGCGAAAACUUUACNAUGCGGGAAACCGCGAUAAGGGGACACCGAGUGUCAGCAUAUUAUGUUGACUGUCCAUAUGUGUAAAUUGCAUGUGAUAGCAAGGGCCGGGCAAGACCGGUGCCAGCCGCCGCGGUAACACCGGCCGGCCCGAGUGGUGAUCACUAUUAUUGGGGUCUA
Molecule: ribosomal RNA, 370 nt
Filed under: uncultured Methanolobus sp.
Lineage: Archaea; Methanobacteriati; Methanobacteriota; Methanomicrobia; Methanosarcinales; Methanosarcinaceae
Description: bacterial SSU rRNA
Rfam family: Archaeal small subunit ribosomal RNA
Source: RNAcentral